Molecule: microRNA precursor, 103 nt
Filed under: Marmota monax (woodchuck)
Lineage: Eukaryota; Metazoa; Chordata; Mammalia; Rodentia; Sciuridae
Source: RNAcentral
AGUGGAAUUGCUAAGUCAUAUGGCACAUGUAUGUUUAACUUUUUAAGAAAUUGCUGGAAAAUUUUUCAAAGUGAUUGUCCCAUUUAAUAUUCCUAGUAGCAGA